UCCGCAGUAGCUCAAAUCUGGUAGAGCAUCCGAAUGUCAAUCGGACGGUUUCAAGUUCAAAUCUUGAUUGCGGAC
Non-coding RNA from Nowakowskiella sp. JEL0407, 75 nucleotides. Lineage: Eukaryota; Fungi; Chytridiomycota; Chytridiomycetes; Cladochytriales; Nowakowskiellaceae. The record is from the annotation of a GenBank genome assembly.